This 317-nucleotide long non-coding RNA is filed under the name Rattus norvegicus (Norway rat). RNAcentral describes it as "long non-coding RNA NONRATT030902". The record is from RNAcentral. Lineage: Eukaryota; Metazoa; Chordata; Mammalia; Rodentia; Muridae.
UGACCGGGGUGGCAGCCAGCUGCAAGUGCCUAAGAACUUGGCACUGCCCCCUUCCAUCUAAAGGGGCACAUCUCCCUUCUGGGUGGCACACAUUCAGUCAAAGGUACAAAACAUCUCUAUCAUCAAGAUGUCUGAUGACAUUGACUGGUUACACAGCCGCAGGGGCGUGUGCAAGGUAGAUCUUUACAGCCCAAAAGGACAACAAGAUCAGGACCGAAAAGUGAUAUGCUUUGUGGAUGUGUCCACCUUGAAUGUGGAAGAUGAUUCCAAGGGUGCUGCUGGUCCCAGGUCAGAGGGCGAAUUAAACCUGGAGAAUC